UAUGUAAAUUGCAAAUGUAAAAAUGGCUUCAACAAAGCAGAAUAAUAAUGAUAAUAUUAAAAGAAUUUUAGAUGACAAAGAAAGUCCUCCAAUCAAUGCAUGUUUGUUGUAGAAAGAACAGUAAUUGAUACCUAUUUUGUAAUCAGUUUAUUCUCACCAAACCCACUACAUCUAAGAAAAGUUAGAAAAUCCAUGCUGCAAAAAAAUUUGUGAUGUUUGAGCUAAAAUAAGGUCUUUCAAAGCCAAAUCCUAGAAGGAAAAAAUUUCUAGCUGGCCAAAAAAGAACCCACUUGGUGUGUAACACAGCUAGGCUGAAUACAUUGCAGCCUACAUUUAAAUCUAGUAUAAAGAGAUGCUUAGUUCACACUUCACAGCCUUUUCCAAGUACUGCAAGUGGAAAGCAAUGGCUCCAUAAAUCAAGUAUAAAUACACUAUUAUCCCAGUACAUUGUAUAAAAGAUAACAAAUUGAAAAACAGUUCCAAUGACUCUCUGACUGAAGCAAAGAAGUCAUCUAUAGUAUAUCAGACAGUAUUAUCCCAACACAUGUUUAAAGAACAAAAUUUCAUAUACAAUUCUGAGAAACGUGUAUGGUUCUCAUGCCAUUGCUAUAGCUAAACCAUUGCAACAGCUAAACUAAUAAGACUGAUACUUCACAUCAGUUUGACAUAAACAUACUUGAAGGUCUAACCCUACCCAAGUUUGGCAUUUUCAAUCCAGAGAGAGACCAUGUGCUAUAAUUAUUUGAGUAAUGCUUUAUGGGAGAUUAAUGAACUGCACAUGCAAGGCAAUUAGGCAAUGCCUGUGCACGAAUGGCACACCUUGAACCACAGCUAAGUAAAGAAAAUGGAAUUAGGCGAUAGUUUCACCAUAUUCAGGAGCAACAUCUCAGGAUCAUGAUUGAUAUUCAAUUUUAGUAUCUCGCUUCCUAACAUUAAUACCUAGAUUAGUCAUUGCUAUCUCAUUACCUGUCAAACAUGAGAAAUGCUAUAGUCACAACUUUUACAAUCUCCAAAACAAUUCUUUAUUGUCCCAAGGCAAGUCCUUGUUUGAAAGUGAGUUACUACUCUACAAAUAUUUGCAACUAGGCUGACCUAUUCUGGCAUAGGCGCCCCAAAUAUGAUCAAGUACACGUAAAAACCAAAUCUCAUUCUGAGAUCCUCAUCUUAAUUCAGGAAACUCAAAAUUAUAAGAUUACUUUUAAAGAAAAGGCUAAGGAUCAAUUCAGGAAUUCAAGAUUGUUCACAAGUUCAAAAGAUCCCAAAAAAUUUCAUGGAAUUCAUUUGCAAUUCCACAUGUCAUGUUGCAAAUACAAAUUUGAUAAAAUUCAAUAGCAUUCCACUACCAACAUAUCAAAAGCAUAGAAAUGCCAAUUGACAGCACUUCACAGUUCACUUCUCAGGACAGUUUGUAGCCUUGAAAGAAUGAAAGCUUGACUAUAUCAAUUUAAAUGUUUACACAAACUGCAAUAAAACCCAUCAAAGAGCAGAAAAUGAUCACUUACAUCCCAGAGAAUGCAAGAAUCCCAG
Molecule: unclassified non-coding RNA, 1527 nt
Filed under: Hevea brasiliensis (rubber tree)
Lineage: Eukaryota; Viridiplantae; Streptophyta; Magnoliopsida; Malpighiales; Euphorbiaceae
Source: RNAcentral